Vigna umbellata (rice bean) is the source of this 452-nucleotide long non-coding RNA. RefSeq lists it as uncharacterized. NCBI's taxonomy places the organism in Eukaryota, Viridiplantae, Streptophyta, Magnoliopsida, Fabales, Fabaceae. The record is from RefSeq and is a predicted model, not a curated record.
UUAUAAGAAAUGAUUAGAUUUAAAUAGGUGUUAACCCUGAAAAACACGCGCACCAACACAGCUCUGUAUUAUUUCCUGACCCACCAUUGAUUCGUUGAAAGCUACAGUGGUGGUGUUUGAGCCAGGUUCUUGUUUUUGGUUAUCAAGGCAACUUGUAUGCAAAUGCAGAUGCUGCCAACCUCAACACUAGUGGACAUUCUGUCAAGUUCAUUUUCUGGAAAGCUUCUCAAGUUGUUAUCAAUUGUGUCUAAUGCAUCACUGGAAAGUGUUUGUUGCUGUAAGAUUUGAUCAGUGUCACCUUGGAUAGUUGCAGGAUCAGGCAAUUUUGGCUGGACUUCUUCUGUGUUUGUUGCUGUGACAUUUGAUCAAUAUCUUCUUGGACAGAUGUUGGAGUGGGCAAUGUGUGUUGUAUUUCUUCCUCCGCUAACUGUUUUUCUAUUGAUUCUUCAAUA